UACGGAGGGUGCAAGCGUUAUCCGGAUUCACUGGGCGUAAAGGGUGCGCAGGCGGCCAAGUGUGUGAGGCGUGAAAGCCCGGGGCUUAACCCCGGAAUUGCACCUCAAACUACAUGGCUAGAGCAUUGGAGAGGGUAGCAGAAUUCAUGGUGUAGCAGUGAAAUGCGUAGAUAUCAUGAGGAAUACCAGAGGCGAAGGCGGCUACCUGGACAAUUGCUGACGCUCAGGCACGAAAGCGUGGGGAGCAAAAGGG
Molecule: ribosomal RNA, 253 nt
Filed under: uncultured bacterium
Lineage: Bacteria
Description: partial 16S ribosomal RNA
Rfam family: Bacterial small subunit ribosomal RNA
Source: RNAcentral